Apis laboriosa (Himalayan honeybee) is the source of this 1820-nucleotide long non-coding RNA. RefSeq lists it as uncharacterized. The transcript has 8 exons. Lineage: Eukaryota; Metazoa; Arthropoda; Insecta; Hymenoptera; Apidae. The record is from RefSeq and is a predicted model, not a curated record.
AGGUUAUCUUCGAGAAACUAAAAAAAAAUUCAAGAGUUUUUUUAUUCCAAUCGUUCUGUGAUUUGAUAAUAUUCUAUAAAAAUAUGUCAAUUAAAAAAUUUUAAAAAUAUAUAAAUUUAGAAAAACUAUAAGAUUUUCCAUAAAACUUUGUUUUUUUAUAAAAAUAAUAGAAGUAAAAGCGACAGGUGUGCUUCAUAUAGACAUAUAAGUAAUAAGAAGAUAAUAUUUAAGUGUAGAGAAGGAACAGCAUUUGCGAACAUAAGAGUGUGAGUGAUCACGUCCUGCACUUUCCUAAGCACCUGCGGAGCCAGAAUGGAUCCGGCAGGUGCAAAAAGGAUACGGGAAACCCUAAAGAACUUUAUGCAAUUCUCGCUGAACAGCUUGGCGCGUCCUAGCUGGCCUGCUUCCAGAAUAAGCCGCCAGAGGUCCGGCGUUACGUGCGAACCGAGGCCAUACCGAUGAAUCUGGUGACGUAAGAGAAUAAAACCAUCAUAAAGGCUUGCUGGUUCAUUAGCGCAAACCGCGGAGCAUGGCAUCCUUGUAGAGAGAGCGAGAUUAUAAUCCAUAGUCUGAUCUCAGUAUAUCCACUGAUACGUAUGUACUUGUCUUCAAUGCUGCAGCAAAACUCAACAAUAAUGAGAGAUAAUAUACUUGACUUCCACUCGAAGAGGUCGGGUAGAUAAGAGAAGAGUGAACCUGCAAAAUUGACUUUCGUAAUUACCGACCGAGAUUGACAAUAUCCAAGACGGCUGCACCGAAUACCGCAUCCCUCAAGGGGUUAAUUUUAUUUCGACUAUUCGGGCAACAUGCGAAUCGAAGACGUUCGUCACAAAGGAAUCUGUCAUCAGGACACACGAUAAUAGUACAUACGUCGACACAUGUCGUCGAAAGAGUUCAGUGUCAAACGUCAGCGAUUUGUUUUCAUGAUGCAUGGAACGAUAUGGUUGCACAACGUCGAUUUAUCGCUGACGAAUGUUAUUGGUGACUCGUGAUCAGCAUGAAGGCAAUAUCUUCACGGACGAGUCGUCGAGAUGUCGAGCGAGCCGAUUUUAAAAAUCAAUUCAUCUCCACGCGCCUGCGGAUAACGCAGUUGAUGUCCAGCUUUUAAUACGUUGUUAAGAUUGGUAUUGAAAUGGAAUGAUCGUGUUUCAAGUGUGGACAAAAUAGGAAAGUACAAAUUUUUUUUACCACACACUUCAAUAUUCACCUAUUCAUAUUGGGAUCAACCGAGUUUCAUCUCGUAAAAGUGCAUGGACAAUUAACAUCGCAUCCAUUCACGAAAGUUCAUAGAUGAACAACGGAGAUAGUUGUCGGAAGUAAGCUAUAAUUUGGAAUUGUCUAAUUGUCUCAUAACGCUCCAAAGAUUCACGGAAACGGGGGCGAGUAAUCCUGAAUAUCUCAUGAAACUCUUGGCCCCUCAAAGCAUCCAAGGAGAACUGGUUUUAAACUCAUCAUCAUCACCUAGCUGUUCACGAUACAACAUUCCAAAAUAAUCAAAUGUCCCUGAAAACGACAAAACAUCGAUGAAUCAAUAUAUUAAUCAAAGAUAUAACAGAAAAUGGAAUUUGAAAAAAUGGUGAAUUAUUGCAGAGACCUACUUUCAUCGCCCUUCUUAAAGUUGCUCACGCGCAACAUCCUUGUUAACUUCCGGAUAGACAAGAAAAGAGAGUAUGACCUGUUGCUGACGACAAAUAAUUAGCGGAUCGCUCUUUGGAAGUGUCAACAGAAGGUGUAGAAUCUAUGAAACAUAUGUUCUAUAAUAAUGCAUUCACAAUGGAAUCUUGGUAUAGCUUUAAAUAUACAAUAAUUCUAUCAUAAAA